GUGCUCGCUUCGGCCCAUAUACUAAAACUGGAAUGAAACAGAGAAGAUGAGCAUGGCCCCUGCACAAGGAUGACACAUAAGUACCCGUGAAUGUAUAUGAUAAA
Nyctereutes procyonoides (raccoon dog) is the source of this 104-nucleotide small nuclear RNA. The record is from RefSeq and is a predicted model, not a curated record. NCBI's taxonomy places the organism in Eukaryota, Metazoa, Chordata, Mammalia, Carnivora, Canidae.